This 87-nucleotide non-coding RNA is filed under the name bovine gut metagenome. Its description in RNAcentral is "TPP riboswitch (THI element)". It matches the Rfam family "TPP riboswitch aptamer (THI element)", at positions 10 to 89 of the family's 105-position model. Rfam says of the family: Vitamin B(1) in its active form thiamin pyrophosphate (TPP) is an essential coenzyme that is synthesised by coupling of pyrimidine and thiazole moieties in bacteria. The previously detected thiamin-regulatory element, thi box was extended, resulting in a new, highly conserved RNA secondary structure, the THI element, which is widely distributed in eubacteria and also occurs in some archaea. The record is from RNAcentral.
AACGGGGAGCUUGUGUGACAGGCUGAGAACAGGAUCAUAUUCUGGACCCUUGAACCUGAUUUGGAUAAUGCCAACGUAGGGAUAUUA